CAAAUUAAUGUAUUUUUAUAAGUGUGGUAUCCAGUGAUCAUGUCUUUAAACAUGCUGAUGUACUGUGGAAAUUUGUCGAUUGACUGAGUGAUUUUUGGUCUCCUCACCCUUUGCUCCACGGUUGCCUUAAAGAAAAAAAACCCCAUUCUAACCGGGUACAAGUAAGCUACCCACGACGUCCAUCGGAACCCCAAUUGGGCACUGAAACUUGACGGUUCCAAUCUUGAAUCUAAAAACACUCACGAGUCAUCUCGUAUCACAUUCUUUCUUGUACAGACGAAGGGUACAUCCAGCUUUGGGCGGCGGCACAUUAAAACACAUGUGCAGUGCCGCCGAUGUGGACGCCGUUCAUUUCAUGCACAGAAAAAAUUAUGUUCAUCAUGUGGAUAUCCUUACCCCAGAAAACGAAAAU
Molecule: long non-coding RNA, 412 nt
Organism: Patella vulgata (common limpet)
Lineage: Eukaryota; Metazoa; Mollusca; Gastropoda; Patellidae
Exons: 2
Source: RefSeq, a predicted model, not a curated record